This 498-nucleotide ribosomal RNA is filed under the name uncultured bacterium. RNAcentral's name for it is "partial 16S ribosomal RNA". It matches the Rfam family "Bacterial small subunit ribosomal RNA", at positions 28 to 523 of the family's 1533-position model. The record is from RNAcentral.
GAUGAACGCUAGCGGCAGGCCUAAUACAUGCAAGUCGGACGGGAUUGAGUAGCUUGCUUUUCAUGAGAGUGGCGCACGGGUGCGUAACACGUAUGUAACCUACCUUAAUCAGGGGGAUAGCCUCUCGAAAGAGAGAUUAACACCGCAUAAAAUCAAUUUAUGGCAUCAUAGUAUGAUCAAAUAUUUAUAGGAUUAAGAUGGGCAUGCGGAACAUUAGCUAGUUGGUAAGGUAACGGCUUACCAAGGCUACGAUGUUUAGGGGAUCUGAGAGGACGACCCCCCACACUGGUACUGAGACACGGACCAGACUCCUACGGGAGGCAGCAGUAAGGAAUAUUGGUCAAUGGGCGCAAGCCUGAACCAGCCAUGCCGCGUGCAGGAAGACGGCCCUACGGGUUGUAAACUGCUUUUGUACCGGAAUAAACCUUUGUAUGUAUACGAAGCUGAAUGUACGGUAAGAAUAAGGAUCGGCUAACUCCGUGCCAGCCGCCGCCGUAA